CCUACGGGAGGCAGCAGUAAGGAAUCUUCCACAAUGGACGAAAGUCUGAUGGAGCAACGCCGCGUGCAGGAUGAAGGCUUUCGGGUCGUAAACUGCUUUUAUAUGGGAAGAUUAUGACGGUACCAUAUGAAUAAGGACCGGCUAACUACGUGCCAGCAGCCGCGGUAAUACGUAGGGUCCAAGCGAUAUCCGGAAUUACUGGGCGUAAAGCGUGUGUAGGUGGAUUAAUAAGUGUGAUGCGAAAUCCGGCGGCUCAACCGUUUGGACUGUGUCGCAUACUGUUAGUCUAGAGGACGGCAGAGGUAAGUGGAAUUACGGGUGUAGCAGUGAAAUGCGUAGAUAUCCGUAGGAACACCAAUGGCGAAGGCAGCUUACUGGGCCACACCUGACACUGAGACACGAAAGCGUGGGGAGCGAACAGGAUUAGAUACCCUGGUAGUCCACGCCGUAAACGAUGCAUACUAUUAGUAUGGGGUAUCGACCCCCUGUGCUGAGAAGCUAACGCGAUAAGUAUGCCGCCUGGGGAGUACGAGCGCAAGCUUAAAACUUAAGGAAUUGACGGCUGAGACGNGCGAGACGACGACGAGGGAGGAG
RNAcentral lists this ribosomal RNA (594 nucleotides) under uncultured bacterium. RNAcentral describes it as "bacterial SSU rRNA". It matches the Rfam family "Bacterial small subunit ribosomal RNA", at positions 338 to 947 of the family's 1533-position model. The record is from RNAcentral.